AACGAACGCUGGCGGCGUGGCUAAGGCAUGCAAGUCGAGCGAACCUACUUUGAGGGUAACUGAGAGGUUGGUUAGCGGCGGACGGGUGAGGAAUACAUGGGUAACGUGCCCCGGACUCAGGGAUAGCGUUUAGAAAUAGAACGGUAAUACCUGAUGACCCCGUAGGAUCGCAUGAUCCAGCGGGCAAAGUUCCGGCGGUCUGGGAGCGGCUCAUGUCCUAUCAGCUAGUUGGCGGGGUAACGGCCCACCAAGGCUGCAACGGGUACCGGGCGUGAGAGCGCGACCCGGCACAUCGGAACUGAGACACGGUCCGGACACCUACGGGUGGCUGCAGCAACGAAUAUUCCGCAAUGGACGAAAGUCUGACGGAGCGACGCCGCGUGGAGGAUGAAGUCCC
Molecule: ribosomal RNA, 397 nt
Filed under: uncultured bacterium
Lineage: Bacteria
Description: bacterial SSU rRNA
Rfam family: Bacterial small subunit ribosomal RNA
Source: RNAcentral